RNAcentral lists this ribosomal RNA (105 nucleotides) under Clostridium neonatale. RNAcentral describes it as "partial 16S ribosomal RNA". It matches the Rfam family "Bacterial small subunit ribosomal RNA", at positions 1431 to 1533 of the family's 1533-position model. The record is from RNAcentral. Lineage: Bacteria; Bacillati; Bacillota; Clostridia; Eubacteriales; Clostridiaceae.
UGAGCUAACGCGUAAGCGAGGCAGCGACCUAAGGUAGGGUCAGCGAUUGGGGUGAAGUCGUAACAAGGUAGCCGUAGGAGAACCUGCGGCUGGAUCACCUCCUUU